CCUACGGGUGACUGCAGUGAGGAAUAUUGGUCAAUGGACGAGAGUCUGAACCAGCCAAGUAGCGUGAAGGAUGACUGCCCUAUGGGUUGUAAACUUCUUUUAUAAAGGAAUAAAACGAGGCACGUGUGCCUUUUUGCAUGUACUUUAUGAAUAAGGAUCGGCUAACUCCGUGCCAGCAGCCGCGGUAAUACGGAGGAUCCGAGCGUUAUCCGGAUUUAUUGGGUUUAAAGGGAGCGUAGAUGGGUUGUUAAGUCAGUUGUGAAAGUUUGCGGCUCAACCGUAAAAUUGCAAUUGAUACUGGGAGUCUUGAGUACAGUUGAGGUAGGCGGAAUUCGUGGUGUAGCGGUGAAAUGCUUAGAUAUCACGAAGAACCCCGAUUGCGAAGGCAGCUUACUAAACUGUGACUGACAUUGAUGCUCGAAAGUGUGGGUAUCAAACAGGAUUAGAUACCCUUGUAGUC
RNAcentral lists this ribosomal RNA (460 nucleotides) under uncultured bacterium. RNAcentral describes it as "partial 16S ribosomal RNA". It matches the Rfam family "Bacterial small subunit ribosomal RNA", at positions 338 to 795 of the family's 1533-position model. The record is from RNAcentral.